RNAcentral lists this ribosomal RNA (369 nucleotides) under uncultured bacterium. RNAcentral's name for it is "bacterial SSU rRNA". It matches the Rfam family "Bacterial small subunit ribosomal RNA", at positions 1008 to 1390 of the family's 1533-position model. The record is from RNAcentral.
CGGAACGAGCCUUCGGGCAGCGUAGACAGGUGCUGCAUGGCUGUCGUCAGCUCGUGUCGUGAGAUGUUGGGUUAAGUCCCGCAACGAGCGCAACCCGUGUUGCUAGUUACAAGUGUCUAGCGAGACUGCCGGUAACAAGCCGGAGGAAGGUGCGGAUGAUGUCAAGUCAGCAUGGCCUAUAUGUCCAGGGCUACACACACGCUACAAUGGCUGGUACAAAGAGAAGCGAAAGGGAGACCUGAAGCGAAUCUCAUCAAAGCCAGUCAUAGUUCGGAUUGCAGGCUGCAACUCGCCUGCAUGAAGUCGGAGUUGCUAGUAACCGCAGGUCAGCAAUACUGCGGUGAAUACGUUCCCGGGCCUUGUACACAC